CAAAGGGCUAUAAAAUCUAUCUUCCAGAAACUGGAAAAGUUGUGAUAUCCCGUGAUGUAAAAUUUGAUGAAAGUUCUAAGUGGAAUUUUAAUGAAACCAAUACACAGCAACAGGUAGCAGUUUUUCCUCCUAUCCCAGUGGAAACUUCAACUCCAACACCAGAAGUUCAGUCUUCCGAGAUAGAAUCUAUCGCACCUACUGCAGAAAAUUCUGAAUCUUCAAGAUCUAGUUCGGCUCCUAGAGGAACCAGAUCUUUGAAUGAGAUUUAUCAGAGGUGUAAUAUGGCAGUGGUUGAACCCAGCAAUUAUGAAGAGGCACAACAACAUUCUGAAUGGGUUGAUGCAAUGGAAACUGAAAUGGAGAUAAUUCAUAAAAAUCAGACUUGGGAAUUGGUACCUCAUCCUGAUGAAAGAAAAGUGAUUGGAGUGAAGUGGAUUUACAAGGCAAAAAUGAAUCCAAAUGGCACGGUGAACAAAUACAAAGCAAGGUUAGUUGCUAGAGGAUUUGCACAAGAAAGUGGUGUUGAUUAUUUUGAGACCUUUGCACCGGUUGCAAGGUUUGACACCAUUAGAUUAUUGAUUGCACUAGCAGCACAAAAGAAGUGGAAGAUACAUCAGUUGGAUAUAAAAUCCGCAUUUCUCAAUGGUGAACUGGAGGAGGAUGUUUUUGUUGAACAACCUGAAGGUUUCCAGUCUAGAAUCUAUCCUGAUCAUGUAUGCAAGCUGAAAAAGGCCUUGUAUGGUUUGAAACAGGCGCCAAGAGCUUGGUACAACAAAAUAGAUGGUUAUCUAUGCGCUAAAGGAUUCAGGAGGAGUGAAAAUGAACAUACUCUUUAUGUGAAGAGUGAUGAAAAUUCUGAUAUCCUGAUUCUAUCCAUGUAUGUGGAUGAUUUACUCAUCACAGGAAACAGUAAAAAGCAAAUUGAUUUGUUUGCUGAUAAAUUGAAGGAAGAAUUUGAGAUGACAAAUCUUGGAAAGAUGAAAUAUUUUUUGGGCAUUGAGGUUGAGCAAACAGAAAAUGGUAUUUUCAUUUCACAAAAGAAAUAUGCAAGUGAUAUCUUGAAGAGGUUGAAGAUGCAGCAGUGUAAACCAGUGGAUACACCAGUUGCGUUGAACACAAAAUUAUCCAAAGAAGAUGGAGACCAGCCAAUCAAUGAGAAGGAAUAUAGGAGUCUUGUUGGAAGUUUACUGUACUUGACAGCAACAAGACCAGAUUUGAUGUUUGCGAGAAGCUUACUUUCUAGAUUCAUGAGCAAGCCAUCACAAACACAUUUUGGAGUUGCCAAAAGGGUCCUUAGGUAUAUCAAAGGAACAAUAAAUCAUGGCAUCUAUUUUGCUGGAGUAGUUGGCUCAAAUUUGAUUGGAUAUUCAGAUAGUGAUUGGGCAGGUUCUGUGGAUGAUAUGAAGAGCAUGAGUGGUUAUCUAUUUACACUUGGUUCGGGAGUAUUCUGUUGGAAUUCAAAGAAACAAGAAGUAGUGGCACAAUCCAUAGCAGAAGCUGAAUAUAUUGCAGCAUCAUCAGCUGUAAAUCAUGCCGUUUGGUUGAGGAAAAUUCUUAAUGAUCUUGCGAAAAGUCAAGAUGAUCCUACAACUAUCAUGGUGGAUAAUCAAUCAGCCAUUGCUGUUGCAAAGAAUGCAGUUGAUCAUGGAAGAACCAAGCAUAUUAAAGUGAAGUUCCAUGCUAUCAGACAAGCUGAGAAAGAAGGAGAAGUUCAUCUCCAAUAUUGUCCAGGUGAAUCUCAAAUUGCAGAUAUGUUCACUAAAGCAUUGCCCAAAUCCAGGUUUGAAGACUUAAGAGUGAAGAUUGGAGUUUUACCCAAAAGCUUCAAGGAGGAGAAUGUUGAUUAUUGAAGACUUUUGAUUUUCUCCACAUGAUGAAAUAUGAAGAGUGUUGGAGAGGAAGAUGAAGAGAUGGAUGCAUUCACCAUCAUUAUUAGUCAUUAUUAGUCUUCAUAAUUGUGUGACUCUUAGUAGUCUUAUGCUAUCCUAUAAAUAGGUUUGUCAUGUACUCAAAUCAAAUAAUUCAUAUAUAAAAAAAAGUUUCUCUCAAAAUAUACUUUGUUCUGUUCUUAUUAUUGAACUGAUCCGGUCUUAAUAGAAUCUAUCCUUAUUUCCGCUGCAUACUAAAAUCACAAUCAGAACAAACAAGAGGGCUAUUAACCUGAAUGUUGGAUCUACUGGUUCCUUAGCCUUUUAUGCUAGAAAUGAAGUGAAGAGAACAGGUAUGGGCCAGCCACCUCACGGCAGGAAUCAAAAGAAGGAGAGACCAACUUGUACAUAUUGUGGAUAUGAAGGACAUGUGAUUGAUAGAUGUUAUAAACUCCAUGGAUAUCCACCUGGAUACAAGCUAAAAUAGAAACCUGGUUCACGCAAUUACACAGGUUUUAAUCCCCACUCAAAUAAUAAUGUUGCUAAUCAAAUCUCUUGUUCUGUUUCAAACCAAUCUCAGGGCAAUACUGGGAAUUUUAUGCAAACCUUGAACCAUGAUCAGUGCCAACAGUUGAUGAGUAUGUUGAGCACACACCUCACAACUUCUAAGAUGGAUGAUGAAGUAGCUAAUGUUGAUGAUGUGUCAGGUACAGUUUUAUCUGUUUCCAUUAAUCAAGUCCUUAAUUCUCCUAGGCAUUGGGUGUUAGAUUCAGGGGCAACUAGUCAUGAAUGCUUCAACCGUGCAUGCUUUCACACAUUAAAGGCUGUGCAAGAUGCAUAUAUUACAUUGCCUAACCAUGCCAGGAUUCGUGUGAAUUUUGUUGGACAUAUUAAACUUACUCCUGACUUGGUGCUGGAAGAUGUGUUAUAUGUGCCCCAGUUCAAGUUCAAUUUGCUGUCCAGUAGUGCACUGACCAAAAGGUCUUCUAUAAGCAUCAAGUUUCUUACUGAUGGCUGUGAUAUUCAGGAUCUAUGCAGCUUGAGGAUGAUUGGCAAGGGUAGACGGAUUGGUGGACUUUACAUCCUAGAUAGCACAAUGAAAUAUGGAUGUAAUAGUGUCAAACAUAUCUGUAAUUCUGAUUCUGUUGUAAUGAAUAAUGUGGAUUCAUAUACUUGGCAUAAUAGACUUGGUCACUUGUCUUUUAAAAGGCCAGCUGGUUUGAAGGACCAAUUACAUUUUAAAUGUAAUAAGGGUAAUGAAGAUGUCCCUUGUUCUAUCUGUCCUCUUGCUAAAUAAAGGCAUUUAUCGUUUGUUUCAAACAAUCACUUAUCUUCCAAUGCAUUUGAUCUUGUUCAUGCUGACACUUGGGGUCCAUAUAGUUCACCAACGCGUGAAGGUCACAGAUACUUUCUCACUUUAGUUGAUGAUUGUAUAAGGUUCGCUUGGGUCUAUCUCAUUAAGCAAAAAUCAGAUGUUCUUGCAAUCAUUCCUAAGUUUUUUUGUCUGGUUGAGACACAAUUUAUUAAGGUCAUUAAAGCCUUCAGGUCUGACAAUGCCCCCGAGUUGCAAUUCACAGAUUUUUUUUAGCUCUAAAGGUGUUCUACAUCAAUUCUCUUGCAUGGAACGACCUGAGCAAAAUUCUGUUGUUGAAAGGAAGCACCAACAUUUACUUAAUGUUGCUCGAGCCCUAUUCUUCCAAUCCCAAGUCCCUAUUCAAUUUUGGGGAGAUUGUGUUCUCACAGCGACCUACCUCAUUAACCGUACUCCAUCUCCUGUUCUACAAAACCAGUCACCAUUUUCAUUACUUUACAAAACUCCAGUAGAUUAUGCUUUUCUCAAGGUCUUUGGUUGUUUGUGUUUUGCAUCAACCCUCACUUCUCAUCACCUAAAAUUCCAUCCUAGAGCCAAGGCAUGUGUUUUCAUUGGAUACCACCCUGGCAUAAAAGGAUACAAGUUAUAUAACAUUGUAUCAAAAUCCAUUUUGAUAUCCAGAGAUGUAGUAUUUCAUGAAAGCAUUUUUCCCUUUCAUUCUAUCUCAAAAACUCAUGAAAUCAUUGAUAAUUUUCCUAACCUUGUGUUAACUAAGCCCGCAAUUGAUAUACCUAUGCAUCAUGCUGUCAACAUUCCUAAUCAUGAUUCGGUUGAUAAUGAUGUUCCUACCAUGUCUUCUCUUGAUUCACCUUCAACAUCAAAACCCAUCACAGCACCACAUGCCACUCCAGUCCAUCCCAAUCCCAAUCUCAGAAGGUCCCUUAGGCAUAGCAAACCUCCAUUAUAUCUCCAGGAAUUUCACUGUAGUCUUUUGGCUAAUUCUCCCAUUCCUCAGGCCUCAUCCCAGUAUCCUUUGAGUGACUGCUUUGGCUACACAAAAUUUUCUAAAUCUCAUAAUAAAUUUCUCUUUAAUAUCUCCUCAAACUUCCAGCCUCAAUUUUACCACCAAGCUGUGAGACAUGAUCAUUGGCAGGAAGCUAUGGCCUCUGAGCUAGCUGCUAUGGAGCUGAAUAACACCUGGUCUGUCACUACUUUGCCCAAAGGAAAGCAUGCCAUUGGCUGCAAAUGGGUGUAUAAAAUAAAGUAUAAGUCAGAUGGGAGUAUCGAUCGAUACAAAGCGCGCUUAGUGGCCAAAGGGUACACUCAACAGGAGGGGUUGGACUUCAUUGAAACCUUCUCCCCAGUGGCUAAGUUGGUGACUGUAAAAUUACACCUAGCCAUAGCAGCAAUUAACAGUUGGCAUAUCAUCCAAUUGGAUGUCAAUAACGCCUUCCUUCAUGGUGAUUUAUUCGAGGAAAUUUAUAUGGACUUGCCAAUGGGAUAUAAACCCCCCUCCACAUCAGGCAAGCAGGGGAAGCAUCAGGUUUGCAAGUUACACAAGUCUAUAUAUGGCCUAAAACAGGCCUCGAGACAAUGGUUUGCAAAAUUUUCCCUUGCUCUUAUCUUACAUGGAUUUCACCAGUCUAAAUCAGAUUAUUCCUUAUUUACAAAAGGUUCUGGUAAUGAAUUUGUUGCUUUACUUGUGUAUGUUGAUGACAUAGUCAUCACCGGGUCCAAUCUCCAAGUUAUAGAAUCUCUGAAAUCAUUUCUUCACAGUCAUUUUAAGGACCUUGGUAACCUUAAAUACUUCCUUGGCUUGGAAAUUGCGAGAUCACAUAAAGGCAUUGUUUUAUCACAGAGACAAUAUGCUCUCCAGUUGCUUGAAGACACAAGGUUUCUAGCUUGUAAGCCUGCAGCCAUGCCUAUGGAUCCCAAAGUUCGAUUGAGCUCCUUUGAGGGGGAGUUGUUGGAAGAUAGUUCUAUGUAUAGGAGGCUUGUUGGACGAUUACUUUAUCUAACAGUCUCCAGACCAGGCAUUACUUUUGCGGUUCAUAAGCUCAGUCAGUUUGUGUCGCAACCACGGAAACCUCAUUUAACAGCCAUCCGUCAUCUACUUCAACAUCAAGGCAACCUUAGGCCAGGGUCUCUUAUUUUCUGCUGAAUCAUCCUUACAAUUACGGGCUUAUGCUGACGCCGGUUGGGGCUCAUGUCCAGAUUCCAGAAAAUCUAUUACUGGGUUUUGUGUGUUUCUUGGAGAUUCUAUGGUGUCAUGGAAGGCUAAAAAGCAAAGCACGAUAUCAAGAUCAUCAGCUGAAGCUGAAUAUCGUGCCUUAUCUUCUAUUGUCAGUGAGCUUGUAUGGAUACAACAGUUGCUUCUUGAUUUCCAGAUUACAUCUACAGGUCCAACUUUGAUUUUUUGUGACAGCCAAGCUGCGGUCCACAUUGCCACCAAUCCUAUCUUCCAUAAGAGAACGAAGCAUAUAGAGAUAUAUUGCCACUUUGUAAGGGAUAAAAUCACUGAUUGUUUCAUCAAGCUGCUACCAGUUCGAAGCAACCACCAACUUGCUGAUAUACUUACCAAACCUUGACUAGCAGCUUCAUUGUCUCACCUACUAUCCAAGAUGGCUGUUGUCAAUUUACACAGUCCAUCUUGAGGGGGAAUAUCAGAAUAAUUGAAGUCAGUUUGGCGCCAAAUGUUUCUGAUUAGUUUGCUUAGCUGUCAAUUAGCUGGAUGUUAUAAACUAUCUUUCCCACCAUUUUUCUUCUUCCUAUUUAACGUGAUUGUACAGAACAUUU
This 5976-nucleotide long non-coding RNA is filed under the name Olea europaea subsp. europaea. Lineage: Eukaryota; Viridiplantae; Streptophyta; Magnoliopsida; Lamiales; Oleaceae. The record is from RNAcentral.